Molecule: long non-coding RNA, 1769 nt
Organism: Triplophysa dalaica
Lineage: Eukaryota; Metazoa; Chordata; Actinopteri; Cypriniformes; Nemacheilidae
Exons: 3
Source: RefSeq, a predicted model, not a curated record
CCUCUGCAGUCUGUGAUCUACAGUCGUCAUUAAGAAGAUUUCUGCAGCAGAAACUCUCACAUCUCUCUCUCUCUCCGUCUCCAUCACCUGCGUUGUCUGAUGUGAGUCACCUUGCAAAUAUAUGAAUAGUAAAUGCAGGAGAAGUAAUCUGCCGCCUGACGGCUACACGACUGCAUUUGCAUAGCUGCCAUCAGCUCGUACUGAAGCGCUGCAGCUCCUCACACCAGAAUCCGCAAUGACGUGAAUAUAUUUCUCACAUGCCGGCCGUUGUUUCUCUCUCUUCUCUGUGUGUCUGUUCGGCUCCGGUCUGCCUUUGAAUGUGACCAGUUAAAUCCAAACAUACGAUCAUGAAUAAAACAUUCAUAUGUUAAACCGUCUCAGUGGAGGUGAAGAUGAAUUUGUGGCCGUUGAACAACUCUCUUUAAAAAAUCCGCAAUCCACAAUUUGUGAUUCAUUGUGACUCUGGAUUCAUCUGCGCUCUCGUUCACACUCAUUGAGGGGAUUCUGAUGAUCUUCUUCUGUUUGUCUUCACAGAUUGUCAAAGCGCAAAGACGUCUGCAAAAUCACCUGUGGAGAAAAGACCAAAACAGCCUGAAAACACGUCUGGUCUUUAUCUUCAUUCCUCAUCACAAAACAUUUUACAGUUUUUGCAGUGUGAAGAACCUUUCGUAGAAUGAGACGGUUCUGUGGAUGAAACCAUAAACAAAGAGCUUCAUUAUUAUAAAAGAAGAAUGUUCUCUGAUCAUCACCAGUGAGAGUCUUCAUCAGUGAAACACAAACUGCACAUGUGACUCUUUUCAGAUGAUGUGGUUCAUCUUUAUGUUUGGAAUUCUGUGAUUUUGUUCCUGUAAGCUGAUUCUCUGUGUCACAUGACCAGUGACGGAAGCCGUGUGAGUAUUUUUGGAUACUGUGUUUUUUCUUCUUGAAACCCGGUACCACCCGAGACCCCAGCGCAGCGGGUCCAUCUGAGCGUUUGACGUCUGUUUGUCUGUUUUUAGCCGCUCUGGAGGAGAACCUGGCAGCGUGCGGCCGGAGCCGAUGGGUUUUCCUGCUGCAGUCUGUCCUGGUUCUCUCAAAUUAAUCAGAUUUACAGCGCCGGCCAUAUGUCCAGACAGCAUGCACCACGCUCUGGGUGGGAGGACCCCGCCCGUCCUGAUCCCAGAUCAGAUUCACAAACUCAAAGCUGAACAGAAGAAAUCAUCUGAGAUCAGCAGAUGACAUCAAGCUUCUUCAGUGCUUCUUUAUUGCAUCUUGAUUCAUCAGAAUAUUGACUGAAAGGUUCUUGAGAUUGUCCAGGAUAGGAGGUUCUCUCGAAGAUUUGCUUCCAAAAUAAAUAAUCCGAUUUUAUGAAGUAUUUCAUGCACAAGACACAGAGAUGAGACAAAUCACAUGUCAUGAUGAUCUGUGGAACAUCUCUACACAUACUGAUCUCAGAUGAUCUGUAUCGUCACAUGUCGAUGACAAACAUUUCAUCUCUCCGACAUUUAAAGAAGUCAAGUGUAAAGCUGAGUCUCAGUUCAUCUGUUCUACAUGUUCUUAUGUCUUGUUCUUGUUUGAGGUUGUGAACAUUAUGAAAUGGUUCAGGUAACGUUUGUCCACAGUUAUUUGAUAAGUACAUGUUUGUUUUGUGCUGAGGUAUGAAAGUUUAACCAGACGUCUGGGCCCAUAUUCUUAAAACUUCUAAGAAUCCUCUAAGAAAGCUCUUAAUUUAGCUUAAAAAUUCUUAUCUCAUAAACCAAAAAUGGACAAAUCUGAGAUCAACUCAGCAA